CUAAAAAAAUGAACCAGUCGCGUAUCAGCUUGACUCCAUCUCUCCCAUUUUCCCAAAUCACCAUGGAAACUCCAUAGUUACACAGCUUCCCACCCUAAAGCUCCCCAAAUAGCUGCAAAAUUCACCAUGAUUAACACCAAUUUUCAGCUCAAAGCCGCUGCAAAAACGCAGCACUUCUCCCCCCAAAUCAGUUGCAAAAUCCAGUCGAAGAGCUGCUGAAAAAUAGCCCCGAAACGCAGCAGCAAACAGUCCUAAAAUCAGCACUCCACACUAAGCAAGAACAACUCUAUCUUCAGCCAAAAACCCAGCGAAAAUUCCAAGCCAAAACUCCAUGAAAGGCUGAUGAAAAUCAGUCCAAAAAGCAACAAAAACUCAACAACAAAGCACCAAAAAAUGCUGAUAAAUUCUGCCCUUCAAACAACCACGCAAUCCCAGCUUAAACCGCCGAAAAUCCAGCCUUAAAAUAACCUCAAAACAAAGGUCGUCGGCGAGUCCGAUUUCCUCGCCUGAAAUUGUCGUCCGAAGUGUAGUUCGCGGUCCUUGUUCUAUCUUGUUGCUGCUGUAUUUUCGUGAUUGGAUUCGGUAGAUUCGAGGUGAUGUUCUUGCGUUCUCUCGAUUAAUCGAAAAGUUUCGCGCGAUAAGAUACUGAUAUCGGAGCAUUUGGACCGCAGUGAUAGUGUUGUCUCCAGUCCACUCAGGCGACCCGAGAUAGUCCUGCAGACAUCCGGGGGCCUUGGCGUCUCCUCCUAUCACUUCUCUUUCUGUUUUUACUUAUUCAGAGACAGAUUUGUGUAAUUUCAUUCGGACCUUAUUUGUAGUAUUUUUAGAUAGUCCGUGACUUGUGACACCAAAUUCUGGGUAGUAUUGUACUUUAAACUAUAUAGCAGUAUUUGGUUGAAUUA
Molecule: long non-coding RNA, 902 nt
Organism: Nicotiana tabacum (common tobacco)
Lineage: Eukaryota; Viridiplantae; Streptophyta; Magnoliopsida; Solanales; Solanaceae
Source: RefSeq, a predicted model, not a curated record